RNAcentral lists this ribosomal RNA (328 nucleotides) under Escherichia coli. Its description in RNAcentral is "partial 23S ribosomal RNA". It matches the Rfam family "Bacterial large subunit ribosomal RNA", at positions 905 to 1230 of the family's 2925-position model. The record is from RNAcentral. Lineage: Bacteria; Pseudomonadati; Pseudomonadota; Gammaproteobacteria; Enterobacterales; Enterobacteriaceae.
GAGCACUGUUUCGGCAAGGGGGUCAUCCCGACUUACCAACCCGAUGCAAACUGCGAAUACCGGAGAAUGUUAUCACGGGAGACACACGGCGGGUGCUAACGUCCGUCGUGAAGAGGGAAACAACCCAGACCGCCAGCUAAGGUCCCAAAGUCAUGGUUAAGUGGGAAACGAUGUGGGAAGGCCCAGACAGCCAGGAUGUUGGCUUAGAAGCAGCCAUCAUUUAAAGAAAGCGUAAUAGCUCACUGGUCGAGUCGGCCUGCGCGGAAGAUGUAACGGGGCUAAACCAUGCACCGAAGCUGCGGCAGCGACGCUUAUGCGUUGUUGGGUA